UUCCAGAGGCUGCGGAAUAUCGGCUUGCGAACCCCGCCAGGGCCGGAAGGCAGCAACGGUAGCCUGUCCGGGAUUGCCGCAGUUCUCUGGCACUU
This 95-nucleotide signal recognition particle RNA is filed under the name Verrucomicrobiia bacterium. RNAcentral's name for it is "signal recognition particle sRNA small type". It matches the Rfam family "Bacterial small signal recognition particle RNA". From Rfam's summary of the family: The signal recognition particle (SRP) is a universally conserved ribonucleoprotein involved in the co-translational targeting of proteins to membranes. Lineage: Bacteria; Pseudomonadati; Verrucomicrobiota; Verrucomicrobiia. The record is from RNAcentral.